GAAACGGGUGGUAAUGCCGGAUGCUCCAGUUGAUCGCAUGGUCUUCUGGGAAAGCUUUCGCGGUAUGGGAUGGGGUCGCGUCCUAUCAGCUUGACGGCGGGGUAACGGCCCACCGUGGCUUCGACGGGUAGCCGGCCUGAGAGGGCGACCGGCCACAUUGGGACUGAGAUACGGCCCAGACUCCUACGGGAGGCAGCAGUGGGGAAUAUUGCACAAUGGGCGCAAGCCUGAUGCAGCGACGCCGCGUGAGGGAUGGAGGCCUUCGGGUUGUAAACCUCUUUUAUCGGGGAGCAAGCGAGAGUGAGUUUACCCGUUGAAUAAGCACCGGCUAACUACGUGCCAGCAGCCGCGGUAAUACGUAGGGUGCAAGCGUUAUCCGGAAUUAUUGGGCGUAAAGGGCUCGUAGGCGGUUCGUCGCGUCCGGUGUGAAAGUCCAUCGCUUAACGGUGGAUCCGCGCCGGGUACGGGCGGGCUUGAGUGCGGUAGGGGAGACUGGAAUUCCCGGUGUAACGGUGGAAUGUGUAGAUAUCGG
RNAcentral lists this ribosomal RNA (532 nucleotides) under Bifidobacterium longum. RNAcentral's name for it is "partial 16S ribosomal RNA". It matches the Rfam family "Bacterial small subunit ribosomal RNA", at positions 153 to 700 of the family's 1533-position model. RNAcentral also lists the same sequence under 1 other name. Lineage: Bacteria; Bacillati; Actinomycetota; Actinomycetes; Bifidobacteriales; Bifidobacteriaceae. The record is from RNAcentral.